UGCGUAGGUGGUUUUUUAAGUCAGAUGUGAAAGCCCUGGGCUUAACCUAGGAAUUGCAUUUGAUACUGAAUAACUUGAGUAUGGUAGAGGGAAGUGGAAUUUCCAGUGUAGCGGUGAAAUGCGUAGAUAUUGGAAGGAACAUCAGUGGCGAAGGCGACUUCCUGGACCAUUACUGACACUGAGGUACGAAAGCGUGGGGAGCAAACA
This 207-nucleotide ribosomal RNA is filed under the name uncultured bacterium. Its description in RNAcentral is "partial 16S ribosomal RNA". It matches the Rfam family "Bacterial small subunit ribosomal RNA", at positions 568 to 774 of the family's 1533-position model. The record is from RNAcentral.